Molecule: ribosomal RNA, 779 nt
Filed under: uncultured Neocallimastigales
Lineage: Eukaryota; Fungi; Neocallimastigomycota; Neocallimastigomycetes; Neocallimastigales
Description: partial large subunit ribosomal RNA
Rfam family: Eukaryotic large subunit ribosomal RNA
Source: RNAcentral
GAGACUCUGUGCGCGUGCAUAUCAAUAAGCGGAGGAAAAGAAACUAACAAGGAUUCCCCUAGUAACGGCGAGUGAAGCGGGAAGAGCUCAAAUUUGAAAUCUUAAAGGGUUUCCCUUGACGAAUUGUAGUUUAUAGAAGUGUUUUCUGUUAGGAGUUCGGUAAAAGGUUCUUUGGAAUAGGACAUCAUAGAGGGUGAGAAUCCCGUAUUUGGAUCCGUUACUUUCCUAGCUUUGUGAUACACUUUCAAAGAGUCGGAUUGUUUGGGAAUGCAGUCCAAAAUGGGUGGUAAAUUUCAUCUAAAGCUAAAUAUUGGCGAGAGACCGAUAGCGAACAAGUACCGUGAGGGAAAGAUGAAAAGAACUUUGAAAAGAGAGUUAAACAGUACGUGAAAUUGUCAAAAGGGAAGCGUUUGACACCAGUGUUGUUUAGUUGAAAAUCAAUUCAAUAGUUUUUGAUUCUAAGUAGUAUUGACUUCAUCAGCUUGCUGCUUUCUUCUCAGAAAUAAUUGAAUGCACUUUUCAGUUAACAAGUCAACAUCAAUUUCUUUUGUUGUAAAAGGGUAAGAGGAAGGUGGCUUACGCUUCGGCGUAAGUGUUUAUAGCCUUUUACCUCUGCAAUCGGGGAGGUUGAGGACAGCAGCGUAGACUCUUCGGGGUUGGAUACACUUGUGCUAAGCUAUAGCCUUGUAUAGACAACUUGUUGACUAUGCUCAGUCAUGUAGCUUACUCGCUUGUGCUAUUUUACCUACGCUUAGGAUGUUGACAGCAGUAUAGACUGU